AUACCAGCCGCUAGUAUAAGCAAUUAUACAGCGAAACUGCGAAUGGCUCAUUAUAUAAGUUAUCGUUUAUUUGAUAGUACCUUACUACUUGGAUAACCGUGGUAAUUCUAGAGCUAAUACAUGCUAAAAAUCCCGACUUCGGAAGGGAUGUAUUUAUUAGAUUAAAAACCAAUGCCCUCUGGGCUCUCUGGUGAUUCAUGAUAACUUCUCGAAUCGCAUGGCCUUGCGCCGGCGAUGGUUCAUUCAAAUUUCUUCCCUAUCAACUUUCGAUGUUUGGGUAGUGGCCAAACAUGGUUGCAACGGGUAACGGAGGGUUAGGGCUCGACCCCGGAGAAGGAGCCUGAGAAACGGCUACUACAUCCAAGGAAGGCAGCAGGCGCGCAAAUUACCCAAUCCCGAUUCGGGGAGGUAGUGACAAUAAAUACUGAUACAGGGCUCUUUUGGGUCUUGUAAUUGGAAUGAGUACAAUUUAAAUCCCUUAACGAGGAACAAUUGGAGGGCAAGUCUGGUGCCAGCAGCCGCGGUAAUUCCAGCUCCAAUAGCGUAUAUUAAAGUUGUUGUGGUUAAAAAGCUCGUAGUUGAACCUUGGGCCUGGCUGGCCGGUCCGCCUCACCGCGUGUACUGGUCCGGCCGGGUCUUUCCCUCUGUGGAACCCCAUGCCCUUCACUGGGUGUGGCGGGGAAACAGGACUUUUACUUUGAAAAAAUUAGAGUGCUCCAGGCAGGCCUAUGCUCGAAUACAUUAGCAUGGAAUAAUGAAAUAGGACGUGCGGUUCUAUUUUGUUGGUUUCUAGGACCGCCGUAAUGAUUAAUAGGGACAGUCGGGGGCAUCAGUAUUCAAUUGUCAGAGGUGAAAUUCUUGGAUUUAUUGAAGACUAACUACUGCGAAAGCAUUUGCCAAGGAUGUUUUCAUUAAUCAGGAACGAAAGUUAGGGGAUCGAAGACGAUCAGAUACCGUCGUAGUCUUAACCAUAAACUAUGCCGACUAGGGAUCGGACGAUGUUAUUUUUUGGACUCGUUCGGCACCUUACGAGAAAUCAAAGUGCUUGGGCUCCAGGGGGAG
This 1062-nucleotide ribosomal RNA is filed under the name Keithomyces carneus. Its description in RNAcentral is "SSU rRNA". It matches the Rfam family "Eukaryotic small subunit ribosomal RNA", at positions 51 to 1123 of the family's 1831-position model. Lineage: Eukaryota; Fungi; Ascomycota; Sordariomycetes; Hypocreales; Clavicipitaceae. The record is from RNAcentral.